Triticum aestivum (bread wheat) is the source of this 115-nucleotide non-coding RNA. The record is from Rfam. Lineage: Eukaryota; Viridiplantae; Streptophyta; Magnoliopsida; Poales; Poaceae.
UCAAUACUUUCUCCGUUUCGAAUUACUUGUCGCAGGUAUGAAUGUAUCUAGAUGUAUUUUAGUUCUAGAUACAUUCAUUUCUGCGACGAGUAAUUUGGAACGGAGGGAGUACUUA